GUAGGUGGCAAGCGUUGUCCGGAAUUAUUGGGCGUAAAGCGCGCGCAGGUGGUUCUUUAAGUCUGAUGUGAAAGCCCCCGGCUCAGCCGGGGAGGGUCAUUGGAAACUGGGGAACUUGAGUGCAGGAGAGGAAAGUGGAAUUCCACGUGUAGCGGUGAAAUGCGUAGAUAUGUGGAGGAACACCAGUGGCAAAGGCGACUUUCUGGCCUGUAACUGACACUGAGGCGCGAAAGCGUGGGGAGCAAACAGGGAUUAGAUACCCUGGUAGUCCACGCCGUAAACGAUGAGUGCUAAGUGUUGGGGGGGGUUUCCGCCCCCUCAGUGCUGCAGCUAACGCAUUAAGCACUCCGCCUGGGAGUACGGUCGCAAGACUG
This 374-nucleotide ribosomal RNA is filed under the name uncultured organism. Its description in RNAcentral is "partial 16S ribosomal RNA". It matches the Rfam family "Bacterial small subunit ribosomal RNA", at positions 527 to 896 of the family's 1533-position model. The record is from RNAcentral.